AUUGAACGCUGGCGGCAGGCCUAACACAUGCAAGUCGAACGAGUGGCGGACGGGUGAGUAAUGUCUGGGAAACUGCCUGAUGGAGGGGGAUAACUACUGGAAACGGUAGCUAAUACCGCAUACCAUCGGAUGUGCCCAGAUGGGAUUAGCUAGUAGGUGGGGUAAAGGCUAACCUAGGCGACGAUCCCUCGCUGGUCUGAGAGGAUGAACAGCCACAAUGGAACUUAGACACGGGCCAAACUCCUACGGGAGGAGGCAGUGGGUAAUAUUGCACAAUGGGCGCAAGCCUGAUGCAGCCAUGCCGCGUGUAUUAAGAAGUCCUUCGGGUUGUAAAGUACUUUCAGCGGGGAGGCGUUACCCGCAGAAGAAGCACCGGCUAACUCCGUGCCAGCAGCCGCGGUAAUUC
RNAcentral lists this ribosomal RNA (406 nucleotides) under uncultured bacterium. RNAcentral describes it as "partial 16S ribosomal RNA". It matches the Rfam family "Bacterial small subunit ribosomal RNA", at positions 30 to 526 of the family's 1533-position model. The record is from RNAcentral.